Molecule: non-coding RNA, 209 nt
Organism: Musa acuminata subsp. malaccensis (wild Malaysian banana)
Lineage: Eukaryota; Viridiplantae; Streptophyta; Magnoliopsida; Zingiberales; Musaceae
Source: RefSeq, a predicted model, not a curated record
GGCUCCCUGCGAUUGAUUCUCGAUGGAGGACGAUCUCCCCUUCUCCUUUUCUUCCGGUGGUUCAAUCUGUUCGAAAUCCAUAGGUAACUUCAAUGCAUACCAUUGAACUCACGCUGUUCUAUUCUGUUGUUUAUUUGUUACUACUGCAUUCUGAACUAAAUAUAUAUAUUUUAUUUUCCUCAGUUUAAUGAUGACAUCAUGCACUGAAA